RNAcentral lists this ribosomal RNA (462 nucleotides) under uncultured bacterium. RNAcentral's name for it is "partial 16S ribosomal RNA". It matches the Rfam family "Bacterial small subunit ribosomal RNA", at positions 28 to 507 of the family's 1533-position model. The record is from RNAcentral.
GACGAACGCUGGCGGCGUGCUUAACACAUGCAAGUCGAACGGUGAAGCCCUUCGGGGUGGAUCAGUGGCGAACGGGUGAGUAACACGUGAGCAACCUGCCCCUGGCUCUGGGACAACCACUGGAAACGGUGGCUAAUACCGGAUACGACCCGCCUCGGCAUCGAGUGUGGGUGGAAAGUUUUUCGGCUGGGGAUGGGCUCGCGGCCUAUCAGCUUGUUGGUGAGGUGAAGGCUCACCAAGGCGACGACGGGUAGCCGGCCUGAGAGGGCGACCGGCCACACUGGGACUGAGACACGGCCCAGACUCCUACGGGAGGCAGCAGUGGGGAAUAUUGCACAAUGGGCGAAAGCCUGAUGCAGCGACGCCGCGUGAGGGAUGACGGCCUUCGGGUUGUAAACCUCUUUCAGCUCCGAAGAAGCGAAAGUGACGGUAGGAGCAGAAGAGGCACCGGCUAACUACGUG